GUGCAGUCUCAGACUCACGCAUGCGCACUGCAGACAUGCACGCGCUGGUUUAGGCAUGCGCGCAACAUAUAAUAAUUUGAUCUCCACGACCGUCCAGGAAUUAUUGCCGGAUACUGCAUAUAGGAUAAUGCCUGGAAAAUGGACCGAACAGACAGGCCUUGAUUUAGCUUGAUUUGACAGGGUUUACCAGGACAAUCGUAUGGAAAUGAUGUGGUAUAUUUAUGUUGAUGUCUGCAUUGUACAUGGUGCUGGAUGCCCCGUUUGACUACAUGAUUUUGGACAUGGCAAAUCUGAGGAAAUGGUGGUGUGUGUGAUGUUGAUGGAGAACUUUGGACUGGAUAGCCAUGGAAAAAUGUUUGCCCACUACACUGAGGAGUCCAAAGCCUUCCUGAGAGAUUUAGGUUGAGAAAAAGGAGGUUUGAAGAAAUCUCUCUGGUAAAAGCAUAUACUUGCUCCUUACAGGACUUGAACCGGUGUCUCCGGAAUGGGAGGUGGGUGCACUAACAAGGAGGCUAAAGCCCCUACCGUCAGUUGCUAGUGCACCUCUUGAGGUCAGAAAAGUGAGGUUUAUACAUAUUGCACAGCUAUCUACCAGCUGGCCACCGUUACACUCACCCCCCUAAACCUCACUCCCAUCCAGUUGAAAGUGGAAGUGAAGCCACAGACAGGGGCGGGUUUACAAUUUCUGAGGCCCCAAGCAACCAACCAACACGGAGCCCCGUUUCAAAAAAUGUUGCUAAAAAAAUGACAAAUUUUAUUUUAAAUCAUAAUUUUUAAUUCUUACUAUCAGCCGUUGUAGCCAAGUACAUUCAAAAUGUUUAAUGAAAUAAAAAUCUAGUUAAAGAUAAUUAAUGCAUGUUUUCCAGUUUCUCCACAAUACAGUGAUAAAAAAAAGCAAUAUUUACCUACAUAUAUUUUUACAACACACUUGUGUGUGUGUGUGUGUGUGUGUGUGUGUGUAAACAGGGUGUGCAAAACCUACUACUUCACCCAGUAACAUUUUGAAAUUCAGUUGUUACAGUAUAUAUUUAAAUUAUAACCCAACAAAUAUUUAUUGUUGUCCAGAUUGUCAUUAUAAUAUGAUACAGUAUUAUUAUUAUUAUUACUGAGGAUUUGCUGUAUACAAUAGUAAUAUAGUUCUGUCUUAUUUACUUUCACCUGGAGCUUAUAUUCUGAUGCUGUAUUGUUCACCAUGUUGCAAAAUAUGUAUUUUAUACAAGCAUCGUAGGCAACAUUCGUUACAGUAUUGUUAUAGUAGACAUACAAGGCAUGAAGGCCCCUCGGCACACUAGAGCAUAAAUUUAAAAAAAAAACAACAUUGCCAUUUAUCAAGCGCUGAAACUUUGCUUGGUGCAGAAUAAUCUGGAAUAAUGUAAAAAAUUGUAACAGUCACCUCUUUGCAGCCUGAAUUUGUUCAGAAUGUUAAACCUUUGUGACACCUGCGCUAAAAACAGUCUAGACGCAGCGCAACGAAUGAAGCAGAACGCAGGUGUCUCGACUUGUGUUUUUGAAAUCUGAAGUUAUUUUUAAUUUGACACAGUGUCUAAAAAUGUGCCGGUCCUACAUGAGACACUGAAGAAACAGCAAGACACGGUACAGCAGUCAAGGACGUUUGCACGUAUCUGUGUGAAUGAGCGUGCAUGGGCGAAACAAGGUUGGAAGGCCUGUAUAUUUUUUUCAUAAAUUACAAACCCGAACCCAAAGUCCUACUGACCCAAACCCGGCGGCUUCGUGAACCGCUCUGAGACCGCAGACAACAGCGUUUUCAUGUGUGUACCCAGAACAACAUGUCACCCCUCAAGCGGUUUUUUAUGAUUGUUAUUAUUCUAAUUAUUCUAAUGAUUCUAAUUAGUUGUUAAGUUAAAAAGUAAAAAGAGGGGAGGAAAAGCACGUUCUUGUUUCUCCACUGACAGGUGUUGUUUUUGCACAAAGUCAGCCAACCCAAGCAACAGAACCUUGCCCUGAAAACACCGUAGUACCACCUGCAACAGCGAAAGAUCUGCCUGUCCUUCAUCCAGACUGUCCAGAGAGCACACAAGAUAAAGAACCGCCACCUUCAGUAGAAAAUGCAUGGAAAAGGAAAUGUGGAAAUGAGUUGGAAGACGACAUAAAUGCCAGCUGCUGUAAGCGUCUCAAACUGGAAUGUACGAAAGUGGAAGAGGAGAUCUAGAGAAUUAAAAGUGAACGCAAAACGUUAGAACUAGAAAAUGUGAAAUUAAACCUAGAAAUAAUAUAAAUUACAAGAGGAGUUAAAAGUCUCUUGGCUGCUCCUUCAAUAUUGUUGUUGUUUUUUUUUGGGGGGGGGGGGAUUUUUCCCCUUUUUCUCCCAAUUUGGAUUGCGCUCGCAUAGUGAUUUGGCUUCAGUCCGGGUGGCGGAGGAUGAAUCCCAGUUGCCUCCGCGAGACAGUCAACCCGCGCUUGUUGAGCGCGUUGCCACGGGAUAUGGCGAGUGUGGAGGCUUCACGCCAUCUGCCGCGGCAUCCGCGCACCAUGCGAUGUGCCCCACCGAGAACAAACCACUUUAUAGCGACCACGAGGAGGUUACCCCAAGUGACUCUACCUUCCCUAGCAACCGGGCCAAUUUGGUUGCUUAGGAGACCUGCACACCCUGGGAUUCGAACUAGCGAACUCCAGUGGUGGUAGCCAGCGUAUUUUACCACUGAGCUACCCAGACCCCCUUCUCCUUCAAUAUUGUUGAAAUGUAAUCUUCAUAUUCACAAUUACAUUGCCAUUGCCAUAGGCCAUUUGUUCAUGUAAAGGUUAAAGUAUGGAAGUGCUUAGGCCUACUCUUUAUUAUUUUAUAUUUAAAUAUACUGUUUACAACACAUCAAUAUUUGUUUUACUAAUUAUUAUUGUUUUAUUUAAAUACAGUAUAUAUUUUAUGCUUAUAGUAUUAAUUUGUGUUGUCUAUCACAUGAGAAAAUAAAUAAAUUCGACAA
Long non-coding RNA from Myxocyprinus asiaticus (Chinese sucker), 2939 nucleotides. RefSeq lists it as uncharacterized. The transcript has 6 exons. The record is from RefSeq and is a predicted model, not a curated record. Lineage: Eukaryota; Metazoa; Chordata; Actinopteri; Cypriniformes; Catostomidae.